RNAcentral lists this non-coding RNA (21 nucleotides) under Arabidopsis thaliana (thale cress). The record is from RNAcentral. Lineage: Eukaryota; Viridiplantae; Streptophyta; Magnoliopsida; Brassicales; Brassicaceae.
UGCCACAAACAAGCUGGUCGC